GCGUAACACGUAUGACAAUCUGCCCACAGCCGGGAGAUAGCCCUCCCGAAAGGAGGAUUAAUAUCCCAUAGGAAGAUGAGAUGGCAUCAUUUUAUUUUUAAACUACGGGGGCUGUGGAUGAGCAUGCGGUUGAUUAGCUAGUUGGCGGGGUAAAGGCCCACCAAGGCGAUGAUCAGUAGGGGGACCUGAGAGGGGUGAUCCCCCCACACUGGCACUGAGAUACGGGCCAGACUCCUACGGGAGGCAGCAGUAGGGAAUAUUGGACAAUGGGUGUAAGCCUGAUCCAGCCAUGCCGCGUGCAGGAAGAAGGCCUUCUGGGUUGUAAACUGCUUUUGCCGGGGGAUAAAAGAUCCAUGCGUGGAGAAUUGAAGGUACCCGGUGAAUAAGCCACGGCUAACUACGUG
Molecule: ribosomal RNA, 404 nt
Filed under: uncultured bacterium
Lineage: Bacteria
Description: bacterial SSU rRNA
Rfam family: Bacterial small subunit ribosomal RNA
Source: RNAcentral